AUGCGAGUUGAUGGAAUACCUAAAUUUUCCAUGGCAAACUGCUCAGUAACACAUGAUCAACUUACCCUAUAGAGAAAAAUAACCUCGGGAAACUGAGGAUAAUGUUUCAUAGUUGAAAAGGCUCGGAAAAGUUUUUCAAUAAAAAGGAUAAGAAAAAUGGUUCUUAUCCGCUAUAGGAUAGGAUCGUGCUCGAUUAUGGUUGUUGGUGAGGUAAUGGCUCACCAAGCCGAUAAUCGAUAGGGGCCGUGAGAGCGGGAGCCCCGAGAUGGGUACUGAGACAACGACCCAGGCCUUACGAGGCGCAGCAGGCGCGAAACCUCAGCAAUACACGAAAGUGUGACUGGGUUACCCAAAGUGUUCAGUUUUGAACUGUGGUAGGUGAGUAAUGUCCCCUAUUAGAAAGGAGAGGGCAAGGCUGGUGCCAGCCGCCGCGGUAAAACCAGCUCUUCAAGUGGUCGGGAUAAUUAUUGGGCUUAAAGUGUCCGUAGCCUGUUUAGUAAGUUCCUGGUAAAAUCGGGUAGCUUAACUAUCUGUAUGCUAGGAAUGCUGCUAAACUAGAGGGCGGGAGAGGUCUGAGGUACUACAGGGGUAGGGGUGAAAUCUUAUAAUCCUUGUAGGACCACCAGUGGCGAAGGCGUCAGACUGGAACGUGCCUGACGGUGAGGGACGAAAGCCAGGGGAGCGAACCGGAUUAGAUACCCGGGUAGUCCUGGCCGUAAACGAUGCAUACUAGGUGAUGGCAUGGCCAUGAGCCGUGUCAGUGCCGUAGGGAAACCGUUAAGUAUGCCGCCUGGGAAGUACGGUCGCAAGGCUAAAACUUAAAGGAAUUGGCGGGGGAGCACCACAAGGGGUGAAGCCUGCGGUUCAAUUGGAUUCAACGCCGGAA
RNAcentral lists this ribosomal RNA (886 nucleotides) under uncultured crenarchaeote. RNAcentral describes it as "bacterial SSU rRNA". It matches the Rfam family "Archaeal small subunit ribosomal RNA", at positions 51 to 923 of the family's 1478-position model. The record is from RNAcentral. Lineage: Archaea; Thermoproteati; Thermoproteota.